RNAcentral lists this ribosomal RNA (407 nucleotides) under uncultured bacterium. RNAcentral's name for it is "bacterial SSU rRNA". It matches the Rfam family "Bacterial small subunit ribosomal RNA", at positions 355 to 754 of the family's 1533-position model. The record is from RNAcentral.
UGGGGAAUUUUGCGCAAUGGGCGCAAGCCUGAUCCAGCGAUGCCGCGUGUGUGAAGAAGGCCUGCGGGUUGUAAAGCACUUUAGUUGGGGAGGAAAGGUAUGUACUGCAUAAGUGCAUGCUGUGACGUUACCCAAAGAAUAAGCACCGGCAAACUCUGUGCCAGCAGCCGCGGUAAUACAGAGGGUGCGAGCGUUAAUCGGAAUUACUGGGCGUAAAGCGUGCGCAGGCGGUUUGGUAAGACAGAUGUGAAAUCCCCGGGCUUAACCUGGGAACUGCAUUUGUGACUGCCAGACUAGAGUGUAGCAGAGGGGGGUAGAAUUCCACGUGUAGCAGUGAAAUGCGUAGAUAUGUGGAGGAAUACCGAUGGCGAAGGCAGCCCCCUGGGCUAACACUGACGCUCAUGCAC